RNAcentral lists this long non-coding RNA (549 nucleotides) under Cyanistes caeruleus (blue tit). RNAcentral's name for it is "lncRNA (ENSCCEG00000002578.1)". Lineage: Eukaryota; Metazoa; Chordata; Aves; Passeriformes; Paridae. The record is from RNAcentral.
AUGCUGAAAUUCUGUAUGGGUGGGUCUGGGGCACUCCUGUUGCUGUCCUGCUCGUUCCAGCUGAUUGCCAACAAAAUUACAAAGCUGCCUGAGCGUGUUGGUUCUGUUCUGCAUAAAUUUGUAAGGAGAAUCCAAAGACUUCGCAGAAUCCAAAGACUGUAUAAUAGGAAAAUCACAGAAAAAGACUUCAGAAUGUUUCUGAAGAUGAAGAAGAGAUUGAUUUGCCACCCAGGAUGGCAUUCAAGGAGCUGUUGCCGAGAGGCUCUUGGGACAGCACGGGCAGGAUCCAGGGUGCCAGGCAGCUCCAGAAGGGAGCAAACCUCCACAGCAUGCUCCAGGUUUCUCUUCAUCCUCCCUCUUCCUCACUCACCAGCACUGGGCACCAACUGGUUUGUUGGUACAAGAGAGGCUGAAGCCUCCUUCAGCUGUCACAUCCUGAAUCCCUGCCAAGUUUGUGUUGCAAGAACUGAUGCCAGUGUUUUUAACCCAGAGUGUAUUUGGCCCCUAGUGUUCUCCAUGACAUAGAAUAAACAUUAGGGAGGAGAUUCA